CCUACGGGAGGCAGCAGUGAGGAAUAUUGGUCAAUGGGCGCGAGCCUGAACCAGCCAAGUAGCGUGAAGGAUGACUGCCCUACGGGUUGUAAACUUCUUUUAUAAAGGAAUAAAGUGAGGCACGUGUGCCGUUUUGGAUGUACUGUAUGAAUAAGGAUCGGCUAACUCCGUGCCAGCAGCCGCGGUAAUACGGAGGAGCCGAGCGUUAUCCGGAUUUAGUGGGUUUACAGGGAGCGUAGAGGGGUUGUUAAGUCAGUGGUGAAAGUUUGCGGCUCCACCGUAAAAUUGCCAUUGAUACUGGCAGUCUUGAGUACAGUUGAGGUCGGCGGCCUUCGUUGUGUAGCGG
RNAcentral lists this ribosomal RNA (346 nucleotides) under uncultured bacterium. RNAcentral describes it as "partial 16S ribosomal RNA". It matches the Rfam family "Bacterial small subunit ribosomal RNA", at positions 338 to 681 of the family's 1533-position model. The record is from RNAcentral.